Molecule: transfer RNA, 91 nt
Filed under: Streptomyces griseosporeus
Lineage: Bacteria; Bacillati; Actinomycetota; Actinomycetes; Kitasatosporales; Streptomycetaceae
Description: tRNA-Asp
Source: RNAcentral
UUCGGCGCGGCGUGAGGCUUUCACGCCCGGCCGCUGUCCGCGGUCUCCGUCAGCCACGGCAGGGCGCCGCGGUCGCCGCCCGUGCCGAGGC